Molecule: ribosomal RNA, 67 nt
Filed under: Plumbago zeylanica
Lineage: Eukaryota; Viridiplantae; Streptophyta; Magnoliopsida; Caryophyllales; Plumbaginaceae
Description: partial 18S ribosomal RNA
Source: RNAcentral
GUGACGCACAUCAACCACCCGAGACCAGUUCUUUCACACAUACAUCUUGCCGGGCCUCGACGGCCUC